Molecule: ribosomal RNA, 635 nt
Filed under: Sympodiomycopsis sp. S6A
Lineage: Eukaryota; Fungi; Basidiomycota; Exobasidiomycetes; Microstromatales
Description: eukaryotic LSU rRNA
Rfam family: Eukaryotic large subunit ribosomal RNA
Source: RNAcentral
AAUAAGCGGAGGAAAAGAAACUAACAAGGAUUCCCCUAGUAACGGCGAGUGAAGCGGGAAGAGCUCAAAUUUGAAAGCUGGCACCUUCGGUGUCCGCGUUGUAAUCUCGAGAAGUGUUUUCCGUGCUGGACCAUGUACAAGUUCCUUGGAAUAGGACGUCAUAGAGGGUGAAAAUCCCGUACUUGACAUGGAUGCCCAGUGCUUUGUGAUACGCUCUCCACGAGUCGAGUUGUUUGGGAAUGCAGCUCAAAAUGGGUGGUAAAUUCCAUCUAAAGCUAAAUAUUGGGGAGAGACCGAUAGCGAACAAGUACCGUGAGGGAAAGAUGAAAAGCACUUUGGAAAGAGAGUUAAACAGUACGUGAAAUUGUCGAAAGGGAAGCGCUUAAAGUUAGACAUGCCUGCUGGGAUUCAGCCUUGCUUUUGCUUGGUGUAUUUCCCAGUGUGCAGGCCAGCAUCAGUUUUGGCUGUCGGAUAAGGGUUAGUGGAAUGUAGCCCUUCGGGGUGUUAUAGACUCUAACUGGAUACGGCGGCCGGGACUGAGGAACGCAGCGUGCCUUUAUGGCGGGCCUUCGGGCACCUUCACGCUUAGGAUGCUGGCGUAAUGGCUUUAAGCGACCCGUCUUGAAACACGGACC